UCCGGUUUGGCACCGGCAGUCUGACUAGAGUCCCCGACAUUACUCGCUGGCAACUAGUCACAAGGGUUGCGCUCGUUGCGGGACUUAACCCAACAUCUCACGACACGAGCUGACGACAGCCAUGCAGCACCUGUGUUCAGGUUCCCUUUCGGGCACCUCUGCAUUUCUGCAGAGUUCCUGACAUGUCAAGGGUAGGUAAGGUUUUUCGCGUUGCAUCGAAUUAAACCACAUCAUCCACCGCUUGUGCGGGCCCCCGUCAAUUUCUUUGAGUUUUAAUCUUGCGACCGUACUCCCCAGGCGGGAUACUUAACGCGUUAGCUUCGUCACUGAUGGGGUCAAUACCACCAACAACAAGUAUCCAUCGUUUACGGCGUGGACUAC
This 381-nucleotide unclassified non-coding RNA is filed under the name uncultured Pseudomonadota bacterium. RNAcentral describes it as "uncultured proteobacterium contains 16S-23S intergenic spacer region". The record is from RNAcentral. Lineage: Bacteria; Pseudomonadati; Pseudomonadota.